RNAcentral lists this small nuclear RNA (23 nucleotides) under Arabidopsis thaliana (thale cress). Its description in RNAcentral is "snRNA_18533". Lineage: Eukaryota; Viridiplantae; Streptophyta; Magnoliopsida; Brassicales; Brassicaceae. The record is from RNAcentral.
GAGACUAUAUAACAUAUGUACUU